RNAcentral lists this ribosomal RNA (506 nucleotides) under uncultured bacterium. RNAcentral describes it as "partial 16S ribosomal RNA". The record is from RNAcentral.
GGAGUUAGCCGGUGCUUCUUCUGUGAGUGAUGUCCUUCCUGCCGGUUAUUGACCCGCAGGCCUUCUUCCUCACUGAAAGUGCUUUACAACCCGAAGGCCUUCUUCACACACGCGGCAUGGCUGGAUCAGGGUUGCCCCCAUUGUCCAAUAUUCCCCACUGCUGCCUCCCGUAGGAGUCUGGGCCGUGUCUCAGUCCCAGUGUGGCUGAUCAUCCUCUCAGACCAGCUACGGAUCGUCGCCUUGGUGAGCCGUUACCUCACCAACCAGCUAAUCCGACAUAGGCUCAUCCGAUAGCGCGAGGCCCGAAGGUCCCCCGCUUCCCCCGUAGGGCGUAUGCGGUAUUAGCCUGGGUUUCCCCAGGUUAUCCCCCACUACCGGGCAGAUUCCUAUGCAUUACUCACCCGUCCGCCGCUCGCCACCAGGGAGCAAGCUCCCCGUGCUGCCGCUCGACUUGCAUGUGUUAGGCCUGCCGCCAGCGUUCAAUCUGAGCCAGGAUCAAACUCUGA